AGAGUUUGAUCAUGGCUCAGAACGAACGCUGGCGGCGUGCUUAAUACAUGCAAGUCGAACGUGAAUCCCGACUUCGGUUGGGAUGAAAGUGGCGAACGGGUGAGUAACACGUAAGUAAUCUGCCUUCAAGUUUGGGAUAACCCUGCCAACGCGGGGCUAAUACCGGAUGUGGUCCAGCUGACACAUGUUGGCUGGAUUAAAGGUCGCGAGGCCGCUUGGAGAUGAGCUUGCGGCCCAUUAGUUAGUUGGUGAGGUAACGGCCCACCAAGACGAAGAUGGGUAGCCGGCCUGAGAGGGUGUACGGCCACAUUGGGACUGAGAUACGGCCCAGACUCCUACGGGAGGCAGCAGUAGGGAAUUUUGCGCAAUGGACGGAAGUCUGACGCAGCAACGCCGCGUGAAGGGUGACGGCCUUCGGGUUGUAAACUUCUGUUGGAUGGGAAAAAAAGCCUAGGAAUAGGAAUUGAUGGUACCAUUCGAGUAAGCACCGGCUAACUACGUGCCAGCAGCCGCGGUAAU
This 519-nucleotide ribosomal RNA is filed under the name uncultured bacterium. Its description in RNAcentral is "bacterial SSU rRNA". It matches the Rfam family "Bacterial small subunit ribosomal RNA", at positions 8 to 524 of the family's 1533-position model. The record is from RNAcentral.